This 60-nucleotide microRNA precursor is filed under the name Saccoglossus kowalevskii. RNAcentral describes it as "Sko-Mir-9-v1_pre stem-loop". It matches the Rfam family "mir-9/mir-79 microRNA precursor family", at positions 2 to 62 of the family's 78-position model. From Rfam's summary of the family: The mature ~21nt miRNAs are processed from hairpin precursor sequences represented here. miR-9 is processed from the 5' arm of its precursor, and miR-79 from the 3' arm. The bounds of the precursors are predicted based on conservation and base pairing and are not generally known. Lineage: Eukaryota; Metazoa; Hemichordata; Enteropneusta; Harrimaniidae. The record is from RNAcentral.
UCUUUGGUUAUCUAGCUGUAUGAGUGUACAUGACAUUAUAAAGCUAGGUUACCAAAGACA